GCCAACUGGUAGGUAACGGGGCGCCGGCGAUUAAAUCAAUCCCACAGUCGUACGGCUGGUGGGGCGGCAGAGAGGAAGCUUUCUCCUUGCUAAACACUUGGGCCAAAUCAUGAUACUCCGGUGGAACUGCCGACAGGUCAGAGAGGGCGACUGGCUCCGCGGAGCUGGUGACAAUCGCACUCGGACUGGCGGAGCGCAGAAACUGUUCAUGGCAAUUAGUGCCCCACCCGGUGAUGCUCCGGCUAGCCCAGUCGAUCUGUGGGUUAUGUUGUUGGAGCCAGGGAUAGCCUAACACUAGAGUAGCAUCCGGCUAUUUAAAGAGAAAGAGACAGAUCUGCUCAGUUUGGUUACUGUAGGGACAGAGUAAUUUUCAGUGCAAUGAGUAACUGUAGUCAGGGGGCUUCCAUUAGACUUGGAGAGUUUCAGAAAGGGCGACAAUAGGUAGACCCAAUUUGUAGGCUAGCAAUUCAUUAAAAAAAAACUCUGCUCAGCCCCAGAAUCGAUUAGUGCGCUGCACGGUUGAAUGAGGAACAGGAAAAUCAAUUUGGCCGAGCAUCUGAGGUGGGGAGUAAUGUUAGCGGAGACACUUGUCAGUAUUCCCACCACUACUGACGGGCGGACUCUUUUACCCGCUUCGGGCACGUAUCAGCAAAGUGUCCCCUUUUCCCACACACAAAACACUCACCCAUGCACAGUCUUCUCCAGCUAGCGGCACUGAACCGAGCCCAUCCAAGUUGCAUCGGCUGCUCCUCCUCCUCCACUGGCUCUUUAUCAUCUUCUUCUCUCCACUCAGCAGAAGACAGUUCAGGAAGCCUCCCCGAAGCCCAAUCUCCGCCCAUGCCGCCUCCUCGGCCAGGAUCCAGAAAUCCACAGAGAGAUCCACCACACUCCUCCGUCCCUGCUUCAGGGUAAAAAAACGAUUAGCCGCACAGUCCGGGUUUGACCCCUUGUCAAAAACACAAUGGAAUUUGCUCAAGAAAUCCUGAUAAGAGAUGUUAGGUUGAACAUUCAAAACUGCUUGUGCCCACUGCAACGCCCGACCCAUCAUUAAUUCCACCAUUGGAGUAAUUUUUGAACAAUCAGAGCCAUAAGCUUGUGUCGCCUGCC
Oreochromis aureus is the source of this 1107-nucleotide long non-coding RNA. NCBI's taxonomy places the organism in Eukaryota, Metazoa, Chordata, Actinopteri, Cichliformes, Cichlidae. The record is from Ensembl.